GAUGAACGCUGACAGAAUGCUUAACACAUGCAAGUCUUUGGCGAAGCUGUGCUUGCACAGCCUAGCCAAGGCGGACGGGUGAGUAACGCGUAAGGAACUUGCCCUGCAGUCAGGGAUAACAGACGGAAACGACUGAUAAGACCUGGUAAAGUCAGGCGGACUCAUGUCCAGCCUGAUGAAAAGAGAUGUUGCAGGAGAGCCUUGCGUCCUAUUAGCUUGUUGGUGGGGUAACGGCCCACCAAGGCGAUGAUAGGUAGCCGGCCUGAGAGGGUGGACGGCCACAAGGGGACUGAGAUACGGCCCUUACUCCUACGGGAGGCAGCAGUGGGGAAUAUUGGACAAUGGGGGCAACCCUGAUCCAGCAAUUCUGUGUGCACGAUGAAGGUUUUCGGAUUGUAAAGUGCUUUCAGCAGGGAAGAAAAAAAUGACGGUACCUGCAGAAGAAGCGACGGCUAAAUACGUG
This 463-nucleotide ribosomal RNA is filed under the name uncultured bacterium. RNAcentral's name for it is "partial 16S ribosomal RNA". It matches the Rfam family "Bacterial small subunit ribosomal RNA", at positions 28 to 507 of the family's 1533-position model. The record is from RNAcentral.